AGCCGAGCGGCCUGUUACUCUGUCGUGUGUGAUGUGAGAGCGGCGUACGGGUGCGGAACAGCGUGCAACCUGCCUUUAUCAGGGGGAUAGCCUUUCAAAAGGAAAAUUAAUACCCCAUAAUAUAUUAUUCGGCAUCGGGAGAUAUUGAAAACUAUGGUGGAUAGAGAUGGGCACCUUUAAGAUUAGCUAUCUGGUGAGGUAACGGCUCCUCCGGCGACGAUCUUUAGGGGGCCUGAGAGGGUGAUCCCCCUCUCUGUUACUGACACUCGGACCAUACUCCUACGGGAGGCUUAUCCGAGGAAUAUUGGACAUUGGGUGGAAGCCUGAUCCAUUCCUCCCGCGUGCAUGAAUACAGCCCGAUGGGUUGUAAACUGCUUUUAUCUGGGGAUAAACCUACUUACGUAUAAUGAGCUGAAGGUACCAAAAAAAUAAGCACCGGCUAACUCCGUGCCCCCUACCGCGGUAAUACGGAGGGUGCAAGCGUUAUCCGGAUUUAUUGGGUUUAAAGGGUCCGUAGGCGGACUGAUAAAUCUUUGGUGAAAUCCCACUGCUUAACUGUCUAACUGGCAUUGAUACUGUUCCUCUUGAAUAGCGAUCAACUGGCUGGAAUAAGUAUGGUCACGUUGACAUGAAUAGAUCUUACUUCUAACACCCAUUGCGAAGGUCUGUCACUAAGUCUGAACUGACUCUGAUGGACGAAAGCGUUCGUUCUGACCAGGAUCAAACUCGGGGAUCCGGAACCCCGUAAACAAUGAUUACUCGUUUUUGGGUUUAAUGAUUCAGACACUAACGAAAGUGAUAAGUAAUCCACCUGGGGAGUACGUUCGCAAGAAUGAAACUCAAAAGAAUUGACGGGGGGCCCGCACCACCCGGUGGAGCAUGUGGUUUUAUUUCUUAUGAUACGCGAGGAACCUUAAUCCAUGACUUUAAAUGGGGAAUUU
Molecule: ribosomal RNA, 941 nt
Filed under: Elizabethkingia anophelis
Lineage: Bacteria; Pseudomonadati; Bacteroidota; Flavobacteriia; Flavobacteriales; Weeksellaceae
Description: bacterial SSU rRNA
Rfam family: Bacterial small subunit ribosomal RNA
Source: RNAcentral